GACGAACCGAGCGAACGUUAUUCGGAAUCACUGGGCUUAAAGGGCGCGUAGGCGGGCGGCCGAGUCCGGGGUGAAAGCCCCCAGCUCAACUGGGGAAGUGCCUCGGAUACUGGUCGCCUCGAGGGAGAUAGGGGCGUGCGGAACUUCCGGUGGAGCGGUGAAAUGCGUAGAGAUCGGAAAGAACACCAACGGCGAAAGCACUCUGCUGGGCCGACACUGACACUGAGAGACGAAAGCUAGGGGAGCGAAUGGG
Molecule: ribosomal RNA, 253 nt
Filed under: uncultured bacterium
Lineage: Bacteria
Description: partial 16S ribosomal RNA
Rfam family: Bacterial small subunit ribosomal RNA
Source: RNAcentral